CAGAGUUGCAAAACUCCCAACCAUUGUGAACCUACCUCACCGUUGCUUCGGCGGGUGGCCCCCCUCCGGGGCCGCGCCGGCCCCCCUCGGGGUCGGCAACCCGUCAGAAGACCGAAACUCUUAGUAACCACUGGCCUCUCUGAGUAACUUAUACAAUAAGUCA
RNAcentral lists this unclassified non-coding RNA (163 nucleotides) under uncultured Ascomycota. RNAcentral describes it as "sequence contains ITS1". The record is from RNAcentral. Lineage: Eukaryota; Fungi; Ascomycota.